Molecule: long non-coding RNA, 2326 nt
Filed under: Brassica rapa (field mustard)
Lineage: Eukaryota; Viridiplantae; Streptophyta; Magnoliopsida; Brassicales; Brassicaceae
Description: long non-coding RNA (BRAP_LNC004581)
Source: RNAcentral
AAGUUACAAAGGAAAAGGGAACAAGUGGUGUCAUUUCUGCAAGAGAGACAACCAUGAUGAAGAUGAAUGCUACUUCAAAAAUGGAAGAAAGAAACCAGAAUCCAACAGUCACAAAGGUACAAGAGAAUGUUACAAUUGUGGCAAGCUUGGUCACUUUGCAAGAGAUUGUAGAAGCAAGAAACCAGAGCAAGCACAAGUCUCUCAUGAAGAUGAAGAAGAAGAAGAAAAUCACUUGUUCACUGCAAGACAAGAAGAUGAAGACUCAGGUGAAGAAAACGUUUGGCUCAUUGAUAGUGGAUGCACAAAUCACAUGACUCCACAUGAGAAGCUCUUCACAAGAAUCAACACAAGCUUCAAAGUUCCUAUAUCUAUUGGUAAUGGGGCUGUAUUGAUUACCAAAGGGAAAGGAGACAUUGAAGUCAUGACAAAGAAGGGCAAGAGAAUCAUUAGAGAUGUGUUUCUAGUGCCUAAGCUCACCAAGAAUCUACUAAGUGUUCCUCAGAUGAUUGCAAAUGGAUAUCAAGUUACUUUCAAGCAAAAGAGUUGCACCAUACAUGAUCAAGCUGGAAGGAAGAUAGCUGAACUGGAGAUGGUUAAAAAGAGUUUUUAUAUCAAGUGGUCCUCAAGUGAAGAAGCAGCAAUGGUGACGAGAACUGAAGUCGCAAAGCCCUCAAAGAUGCAAAUUCUGCAGCCAUGUAAGCAACAAUUCGUGAUGCUAGAGUGUCUAAAGCAAGAGUAUAAUGAUUGUCAAUGUUCCAAUUCAAGAGGGUGGACUGAAAAGAAGGUCGAAGCUAAGUAUAAACCUGUUGAGUUUCAGACAAAGAUUGGAGCUGAACUCGAGAAACAGAAAAACUCAGUCAUUGUCAAGAAAGAGACUGAGCUUGUUGAUCAAAAGGCUGAUCACAUGAUUCAGGAACUUGAGAAGCAGAAGUCUGUGACAAAAGUUGAGUACCAAGAAGGUUCAACAACUGAAAACAGAGAAGCUAAGGUUCAGGUCAAGGGAACCGAAAAUCAGAAGUUGGUGAUCAAAGAAGACACCAAACAGAAAAUAAGAAGCUCACCUGAGAGGGAGCAACAGCUGGUUGGAAAAACAACUAGAGGAGAUGUGAAGAAAGCUCAUGGGAAGCUGGAAGAAGAUAUGGAGAAAACUCACAAAAGAAUGGAAGAAAAAUCAGUGAACAAAAAGGGUUCUGAUAAUGAAGCAAGAGGGAGUCUCAGCAAGAGGGAGUUUCAUGAUUUCAGUUUCAAGGGAAACUCACCAAAUAAGACAGUACAUGGAGAAGAAAUUCAAAGCUCAGUUAAAAUCAAACAAGAUCAGAAUGAAGUCAAGGAAGGAAACAAGAAAGUGAACGUUCCAGAGUUGCAUAAUCAGAACAAGGUGGAGACUGAAAAACCAAAAGUUGGAAUGCGUUAUGUUGAUGUCGUCAAAGGGAUUGGUCCAUAGGUUUUGGGAUCAACCUGGUUUGAGGAACAAAAGGCAAGAGGGAGUGUUGAAUAAUGUCUAUUUGUUCUCAAACCACACAAAUAAAAUGUGGGAAAAGAGAGUAAUAAAUUAAUAAUAAGAUAAAUGGAGAAAGAUCUAGAGAAUUCUAUUCUCUGUAUAAAUAUGUAAUGGCCCUGUUGUGUAAUUUAAGCUAAUAAGAAAUCAGUUUCCUACUUCAUCUUUCUCUAUCUUCUACUACCUCUCACUCAUACGUUCUACACAAACAUUCCUCUGUUUUCUUUUCUUUGAACAAGACCAAAAACAGAACAAGAGAAGCAUGAAGAAAACCUGCAAUUUUCUGCAGUUUGCAACACUUUGUCCAUGUCUCGGGAUUAAUCCAGGUUUUGAUCCGAAAGCUAUCCUUAUUAUAAAAGAAAAAAGAAAAAAACAGAAAGAGAAAGAGAGAGAGACAGAGAGAUACAUCAUACAUCGUGCGAUAAGAAUGUGUAUAUAAUGUUAAAUAUAUGAUGUACACGAGGAUUCAACUAACAAUAUUUACACAUGUAAUUAAGUCUUAUAAAGGAAGUGAAGAUUAUUUAAAAACUUCAGUGGCCUUUGGUUUGGUCAUGUCCUGGACGCGACUAACAGAGAAUAAUCGUACGAUAAAGAAGGACGACGGCUUCCCAGAUCAUUGAGAGUCAUUUAAUUAAGCGUGACCCUUUAAAGAUUUUGUAAUGUGUCCAAUCACAUAUUCAUCAGAUACAGACAAAUGUUAUGUAGCAUUAACACUUUUGAUAUGAAAUUACUUAAGAAUGCUAUGUGUUAGUGUCCGAUUGGAGACUAGAGCAUGUCUACUACCUUUACUUACAUCGUUGCUCAAUUUUGUUUUAAGCUUCACUUUGC